GUGGGGAAUAUUGGACAAUGGGGGGAACCCUGAUCCAGCCAUGCCGCGUGUGUGAAGAAGGCCUUUUGGUUGUAAAGCACUUUAAGCGAGGAGGAGGCUACCGAGAUUAAUACUCUUGGAUAGUGGACGUUACUCGCAGAAUAAGCACCGGCUAACUCUGUGCCAGCAGCCGCGGUAAUACAGAGGGUGCAAGCGUUAAUCGGAUUUACUGAGCGUAAAGCGCGCGUAGGUGGCCAAUUAAGUCAAAUGUGAAAUCCCCGAGCUUAACUUGGGAAUUGCAUUCGAUACUGGUUGGCUAGAGUAUGGGAGAGGAUGGUAGAAUUCCAGGUGUAGCGGUGAAAUGCGUAGAGAUCUGGAGGAAUACCGAUGGCGAAGGCAGCCAUCUGGCCUAAUACUGACACUGAGGUGCGAAAGCGUGGGGAGCAAACAGGAUUAGAAACCCUUGUAGUCC
RNAcentral lists this ribosomal RNA (451 nucleotides) under uncultured bacterium. RNAcentral's name for it is "partial 16S ribosomal RNA". It matches the Rfam family "Bacterial small subunit ribosomal RNA", at positions 354 to 796 of the family's 1533-position model. The record is from RNAcentral.